AAUUUUCCUAAGUACUGCUUUCAGUGUAUCAGUCAAAUUUUGACAAAGUGUAUUGUCAAUUUCAUUUAGUUCCAAAUAUUUUUAUGAUUGAUCAUUUCAUUUAUGUACAAUAAAACUGGCUACUCAGAACUCUUUGAUGUUGAAGUGAUUUCUACAGACGCUAUUGAGUGCUUUCUAGUUUUUGUCCCUAUGUUAUGCUACUGCUGGUCCUUAUGAAUCUGUCUACACUUUUGACAAUUUUUUUUGCCUCCUUGCAUUUAGACUGUCACUACUCACUUUUCAGUAUUGUCAGUACCUGAGCCUCUUUUUAACUAAUUAUGAACUUUUUUUAGCCAGUUAAGCAAGCCUACUAAAAUUAAGGGAAGUUACCUCUCCUAAAAUU
Molecule: long non-coding RNA, 382 nt
Organism: Sapajus apella (tufted capuchin)
Lineage: Eukaryota; Metazoa; Chordata; Mammalia; Primates; Cebidae
Exons: 2
Source: RefSeq, a predicted model, not a curated record